AGCAGUCGCCACGGUAAUACGUAGGUCCCGAGCGUUGUCCGGAUUUAUUGGGCGUAAAGCGAGCGCAGGCGGUUAGAUAAGUCUGAAGUUAAAGGCUGUGGCUUAACCAUAGUACGCUUUGGAAACUGUUUAACUUGAGUGCAAGAGGGGAGAGUGGAAUUCCAUGUGUAGCGGUGAAAUGCGUAGAUAUAUGGAGGAACACCGGUGGCGAAAGCGGCUCUCUGGCUUGUAACUGACGCUGAGGCUCGAAAGCGUGGGGAGCGAACAGGAUUAGAGACCCGUGUAGUCCCUGUCUCUUAUACA
RNAcentral lists this ribosomal RNA (303 nucleotides) under uncultured bacterium. RNAcentral's name for it is "partial 16S ribosomal RNA". It matches the Rfam family "Bacterial small subunit ribosomal RNA", at positions 507 to 808 of the family's 1533-position model. The record is from RNAcentral.